This is a long non-coding RNA of Aquila chrysaetos chrysaetos, 707 nucleotides long. RefSeq lists it as uncharacterized. The record is from RefSeq and is a predicted model, not a curated record. The transcript is spliced from 3 exons. Lineage: Eukaryota; Metazoa; Chordata; Aves; Accipitriformes; Accipitridae.
GGUGAGGUUUUCUCCUUAGCUCUGACCCAUAGUUUUGGUGCAAGAUGGGACUUGCAUGUUCAGGGCUUCGGUUCUGCGUGUGAGAGAAAGGUAUGGCAGACUCCGUUAAGGGAGUCUGAAUCAGAAGUGAUUCAUAGCUUGUGAGGUACUCAGAUAUUUCAUUUGAGUGCCAUAAAUGACUUGAAAAGAUACAAAAGUGAAAUAUGAAGCUGGAUGAAAGGGAAAGGACAACGUUGUGAUCCACCCACUUUUUAGGCCAGAAGAGACCAUUAUGGCAAUUCGGUCAGACUUCUCCCAUAAUACAGACUUCAGGACUUCGCUGAACUAAUUCCUACUUCAGAGCAAGAGCUGUGAUCGAACUAGAGCACGUAUUUCAAGAGAAACUGCCCAACUUGAUCUUAGAGGGAGAAUGUAGUAGGAGAAUCCACUACUGCCCUUGGCUCAUCGCUGAACCCUCUCUAGAAUUUCAGCCUUGCCCUGUGGACCCCAUCUCCAGAUGCACUAUCCCAAGGCCGGUCAUGCUGGUGCUGAGCACAGCAGUAAUGAAACUUCCUGAGGCCCAGGGGGAAGGGGACAGCUGCCUCCUUUGGGCUGGAGCCAGCAGAGGCACGGCUGGCCAUGUCGGAUCAAUCCCAUCCCAGCAGAGAAGAGGGAUGCCACCUUGGGAGACUAGAAGUCUCUGACCCUUUCUGAUCAGGUACAAGCAG